Apodemus sylvaticus (European woodmouse) is the source of this 1236-nucleotide long non-coding RNA. RefSeq lists it as uncharacterized. The record is from RefSeq and is a predicted model, not a curated record. The transcript is spliced from 5 exons. Lineage: Eukaryota; Metazoa; Chordata; Mammalia; Rodentia; Muridae.
ACUCCUGGCAUGAAGUGACCGCCAUCCAUCUAUGAGGCCCUAAACUGAAGAGGGAAACUUUUACAAAAUACAACCUCUUAGCUACACUCAAGGAUGAUCAACUGUGGCUGCUGUAUCUGAGCAUUAUGAAGGUGAAAGCUUGCCCUUGUGGAGGAUGCUGACAAGAGCUAGGAAAGAACAUUCUUCAAGUGUCACACAAAACUUUCUCUUGUCUUUUUUUUUUUUUAACCGAUGUGAUGCUGACAACAUCUGAAGAGCAUCCGUGGUGGAGCCAGAAAUUUUCCAUAUUCAGAUCUUACAUAUAUCCACACUGGGCUUGACAGAGGAGAGAGAGAGAGAGAGAGAGAGAGAGAGAGAGAGAGAGAGAGAGAGAGAGAGAGAGAAAGAGAGAGAGAGAGAGAGAGCACAGGAUACUUGGUGAAGUCUGUCUCUAGAAAAAAAUAUUUAUUUUAAUUUUGUCUUUAUAAAGGACACAAUGAUUACAUCUUUCCAUACAGAAAUGCACUGGGCUCUUUUGGAGCAGCUGAUUGAUGAAGUAGCUAUAACUAAGGUACUCUUCUACUCUGCCAUUGCCAUAGGGUUGUGUCUCCUCCCCCCAAAGUAAUAGCUAAGAUGUAUACAUCAGUUAUACACACUAAUGUGCUGUCCAAACUGCUUUACUGUGCCUUAGGUACAUCGAUGCAUUAUUUGUGGGAACUGGAAUGUAGAAACACCUGAGGACCACCUACCUGCUCAGGAAUGGUCCCAGCUGCAAUUACAAUAGGUCUACAUCAAUCAAGGUAAUCAAAAGAUAAGGACAUUCCUCACAGGCACAGCACCCAGGGACCCACUCCUAGGUGACCAGGCGUCCUGUGCCAUGUGAUCCUGCCCUGACAUGCUGAGCCACUAUAGACACAAAGGAAUAGGGUUUCUGGGGCAAAACAACCAGGCUGAUCAGCCAGGGACUUCUGGGGAUCUCCCAUGGCGUCCAGCACUUCCUCAGUGGAACUCGAAGACAGAGUGCCUUCCUGUUUGACUCAUGGGCAAGAGGAGAUUCCAGCAUUUUCUCAACCACCUGUCCUUUGCAGCACUGGGUGAUGAAUACAACCCAAAUAAUACACCAUUGUCUCAUCAGUUGUGAGCUGAUGACAUCAAAAGGCACAAUAACAAGAACACCAGGAAGCAGAUGGCAAAAGCUUCUACCUCAAAAGUCUUACCAGCAACAGAUCAGUCUCUAUUAAAACGCCUGUCUUUUUA